This 399-nucleotide ribosomal RNA is filed under the name uncultured bacterium. Its description in RNAcentral is "bacterial SSU rRNA". It matches the Rfam family "Bacterial small subunit ribosomal RNA", at positions 358 to 774 of the family's 1533-position model. The record is from RNAcentral.
GGAAUAUUGCACAAUGGGGGAAACCCUGAUGCAGCGACGCCGCGUGAAGGAAGAAGUAUCUCGGUAUGUAAACUUCUAUCAGCAGGGAAGAAAAUGACGGUACCUGACUAAGAAGCUCCGGCUAAAUACGUGCCAGCAGCCGCGGUAAUACGUAUGGAGCAAGCGUUAUCCGGAUUUCCUGGGUGUAAAGGGAGCGCAGGCGGCAUGGCAAGUCAGAUGUGAAAGCCCGGGGCUCAACCCCGGGACUGCAUUUGAAACUGUCAGGCUGGAGUGCAGGAGAGGCAGGCGGAAUUCCUAGUGUAGCGGUGAAAUGCGUAGAUAUUAGGAGGAACACCAGUGGCGAAGGCGGCCUGCUGGACUGUAACUGACGCUGAGGCUCGAAAGCGUGGGGAGCAAACA